GACGAACGCUGGCGGCGUGCUUAACACAUGCAAGUCGAACGGAAAGGCCUGCUUUCCCCUGUGGAUUGCGGGUACUCGAGUGGCGAACGGGUGAGUAACACGUGAGUGAUCUGCCCCCAACUUGGGUAUAAGCCUGGGAAACUGGGUCUAAUUCCCGAUAGGACUGCAGGGUGGUGCCUGUGGUGGAAAACGAUUUUCUAGUGGUUGGGGAUGAGCUCGCGGCCUAUCAGCUUGUUGGUGGGGUAAUGGCCUACCAAGGCGGCGACGGGUAGCCGGCCUGAGAGGGUGGACGGCGACAUUGGGACUGAGAUACGGCCCAGACUCCUACGGGAGGCAGCAGUGGGGAAUAUUGCACAAUGGGCGGAAGCCUGAUGCAGCGACGCCGCGUGGGGGAUGACGGCCUUCGGGUUGUAAACUCCUUUCGACCGCGAGGAAGCCACCUGGUUGGAAGGGUGGUGACGGUAGUGGUAGAAGAAGCACCGGCUAACUACGUG
This 494-nucleotide ribosomal RNA is filed under the name uncultured bacterium. RNAcentral's name for it is "partial 16S ribosomal RNA". It matches the Rfam family "Bacterial small subunit ribosomal RNA", at positions 28 to 507 of the family's 1533-position model. The record is from RNAcentral.